This 80-nucleotide transfer RNA is filed under the name Blumeria hordei DH14. RNAcentral describes it as "tRNA-Ala for anticodon AGC". It matches the Rfam family "tRNA". From Rfam's summary of the family: Transfer RNA (tRNA) molecules are approximately 80 nucleotides in length. Their secondary structure includes four short double-helical elements and three loops (D, anti-codon, and T loops). Further hydrogen bonds mediate the characteristic L-shaped molecular structure. tRNAs have two regions of fundamental functional importance: the anti-codon, which is responsible for specific mRNA codon recognition, and the 3' end, to which the tRNAs corresponding amino acid is attached (by aminoacyl-tRNA synthetases). tRNAs cope with the degeneracy of the genetic code in two manners: having more than one tRNA (with a specific anti-codon) for a particular amino acid; and 'wobble' base-pairing, i.e. permitting non-standard base-pairing at the 3rd anti-codon position. Lineage: Eukaryota; Fungi; Ascomycota; Leotiomycetes; Helotiales; Erysiphaceae. The record is from RNAcentral.
GGGCUCGUGGUUUAGUGGUAUAAUACUCCCUUAGCAGCAUCAACUGGGAGUGGUCCGGGGUUCGAUUCCCCGCGAGUCCA